ACCCCGCUGUGAUCGGUCUAAUAAAACCUUUCGUUUAUCUGGGACGCACUUUCAGUUUCAUACCCCCCCACCACCACCACCUCCUCAUCCCUCCCACGUAAUUGAAGUGCCUCUCCUAUGUAACCCGACGCUCAUCCCGCAGCUCCAAAGUGUCGUUGGGGCCGCAACUUAAGUACCCGGCGCUCCAGAUCCUCCGGAUCAGCACAAGGCCAGAUCAGGCCAAUUAAUAAUUCAGGCGAGUUGCUUCAAAAUGGAGUUUUUUUUACGGCGAAGGGUCUCUCAGAUGUCCGUCCCGCUGCACACGACAACCGACGAGGAGUGAGCGUGUGUCCGGGAGCGCACGUCCCCUCUGCAAGGUUGCUGUCCUCAUCAAUAAUUCACGCACAGGACUGUAGGGAGGUGGGGCAGGGCACGCUGGAGCCCUGCCCAAGAUGAAGGCAAGGAGGCGGAGAAUGUGGCUGAGCGGAGAGGCGGGGCGUGCCGGGAGCAACGCCGCAAUCUAGCUCAGGUGCGUGGAUCGCGCACCGGCACACGAUUAACAUUUCUCCUCACGCUGCAUAAAAGGGGAGAAAGAGGAGAGAUCAGGAAAGAGGGAGUUGGAGAGCCUGCAAUGAUGGAUGAAGAGCGGCAGCAGCGAAAGCAAGGAGCAGACAAGAACGACGACGGCGGCUGAAAAGCGAUCCAACCCGGCAAGAGAAAUCUUAUUGCAAAAUAAACGAGAGUCAAACAUG
Molecule: long non-coding RNA, 731 nt
Organism: Nerophis ophidion (straightnose pipefish)
Lineage: Eukaryota; Metazoa; Chordata; Actinopteri; Syngnathiformes; Syngnathidae
Exons: 2
Source: RefSeq, a predicted model, not a curated record